GGACUUAGACAUUUUUUGCUUUGGAAAGUAGUGGAAUUCUUUGGAAAAAAUGAUAAAAUGAGAAACUUAGCCAUUUUCUGCUCUGGAAAACUGUGGAAAAUUACUUAGAAUUUUUUUAACUGUCGACCAAUAGUACAAUAACAUCGGGAUCGAAGUCGGGCUCGAUGAACAAUUAAUUUAAACAACAAGCCGAAAUUCAAAAAUAUCGAAUGUCAUGUUGAUGUUGCACAGAAGGAAAGUUGGAAAGAGAGUGUCUAGAACAGGGGAAUCUUGAUUAGCUUUAGAUGGAAGAAGAUGAAGACAUUUUAAGACCCGCUGUUGCUGCAUUGUGCCUGAGAUGAUCCCCUCAGCGCUGGCGUUUGAUAACUUGGUGGAUGUAGAUGCUUAGCCAGUCAGUCUCUAGGCUUGUGAAUAUGGAAUCCAGGUGCUCACAAGGACAAGAGGUGUAUGAAAAGAAAAACAUAAAGAAAUCGUGUAAGGAUCGAAAGUUUGAAGUGUCUGUUGGAAUGAUCAACAUCGAACUUUCUGAGCUUUCGUACUGAAAGUGAAUCCGUUCGUGACACCAAUUAACUGUCAACCUUCUAACAUAACCAUUUACUAAUUUCAUAGAAUAUCAGUGAGGAAGUGCAUGAUUCUCUAGCAAACACGUCAGAAGUUUUGGAUCUUCAUUAAUUGGGAUCUUUGGCACGUACGUUGAGGAGAAAUAUCAUCUGUUGAUUUUAUGGGAUCAUUGUAUCAAUAUAGUUGUGUAGUACAUAUUUUUUGCAUGUAAUACAUGUGUUUGUCACUCUAGUCAAUAACUUUGUACCAGUACAUAAGCAUGAAAAGCCACUGGCAGUUCAUUGUAAAUGUAUACUUUGUUGAGGUCUC
This is a long non-coding RNA of Saccostrea cuccullata (small rock oyster), 870 nucleotides long. RefSeq lists it as uncharacterized. The transcript is spliced from 4 exons. The record is from RefSeq and is a predicted model, not a curated record. NCBI's taxonomy places the organism in Eukaryota, Metazoa, Mollusca, Bivalvia, Ostreida, Ostreidae.